AACGAACGCUGGCGGCAGGCUUAACACAUGCAAGUCGAACGAGAUCUUCGGAUCUAGUGGCAGACGGGUGAGGAACACGUGGGAACAUCCCUUUCAGUUCGGAAUAACGUUGGGAAACUAACGCUAAUACCGGAUACGUCCUUCGGGAGAAAGAUUUAUCGCUGAAAGAUUGGCCCGCGUCUGAUUAGCUAGUUGGUGAGGUAAUGGCUCACCAAGGCUACGAUCAGUAGCUGAUCUGAGAGGAUGAUCAGCCACAUUGGGACUGAGACACGGCCCAAACUCCUACGGGAGGCAGCAGUGGGGAAUAUUGCACAAUGGGGGAAACCCUGAUGCAGCAACGCCGCGUGAGUGAUGAAGGUCUUCGGAUCGUAAAGCUCUGUCUUCAGGGACGAUAAUGACGGUACCUGAGGAGGAAGCCACGGCUAACUACGUGCCAGCCGCCGCAGUAA
RNAcentral lists this ribosomal RNA (449 nucleotides) under uncultured bacterium. RNAcentral's name for it is "partial 16S ribosomal RNA". It matches the Rfam family "Bacterial small subunit ribosomal RNA", at positions 29 to 523 of the family's 1533-position model. The record is from RNAcentral.